AGCUCCAGGCUGAGGUGCAGCCGCCACCCUACGUGGCGGGGAGCGAGGUGUCAAACUCCGUCAGGUGGAUGCUGUGACAGUUCACAUCUUUGGCUUCGAAUGAAAUACAGUGGAUAAAAAGGCAAGUGAAUGUAUCAGGAUCUCUCCAGUUCUACCAACGUACCUACAGAGGAGACUAAAUGAAUCAAAUUGAAGUGUUCUCUGCACCACUAUACUGGGGUCUGAAGGCAAUUUUAUGUGGCUUUUAUACACCAAAGUUGAUGUGAAUCCUGUGAUAUGAGGUGUGUUCACCAUUUGGGCUCAUCUCUAAUACCGGAGAUUCCGAGAACCAGAGGAAAUGAGGAGGCCCUGAGAGAACCUUCGCGAGAUGUGUCCAAGCAGACCCGGGCACACAGUUGGCACUCACAAACAGUGCCGAUCAGAACGAGAUGGCUCGCCUGUCCCUAAACAACCAGUGGUCCUCAGUGUAUCAGGAGGUCUGACAAAAGAAAAAAAAAAAAAAAAGAUGCACAGAGAGGAAAUGAACUGAGACAACAUCACUCCACAGCAACCGGAAGGAAAAACAGCCACAAGGUCACCAUUCACAGCCUGCGUGUGCAGUUGCUCCGUGGGGAAAUGCUCACAGCUGCCUUCAGAAGCAAGUCUAGCGGCUGCAGCAACACAGAAGCACGGCCACGAGGCAGGACUGAGCCGCCACCUCCUGCCUGCCUGCCCAGAGGGAGGGCAAGGACCCAACCAGAGGAUCCCGCAGCAGCCAUUCGCCCUGGGCUCAAGAAGCUGUGAAUUCCUUAAUGUCAUACACUGGCCUGAGAACAUCGUGUAUUCUUUAAGCAGAGUUAUGAGAACGGAGAACUUGCUCAGCCGACUAAAACACUGGAAUUGUCCUUUUCAAGACCCAGAGCUCCAACAUUCCUUGGCUUAACAGAC
This is a long non-coding RNA of Mesoplodon densirostris (Blainville's beaked whale), 927 nucleotides long. RefSeq lists it as uncharacterized. NCBI's taxonomy places the organism in Eukaryota, Metazoa, Chordata, Mammalia, Artiodactyla, Ziphiidae. The record is from RefSeq and is a predicted model, not a curated record. The transcript has 6 exons.